GGGCCGUUAGCUCAGUGGUAGAGCGCCUCAUUUGCAAUGAGGAGGCCACCGGUUCGAUCCCGGUACGGUCCA
This 72-nucleotide transfer RNA is filed under the name Patescibacteria group bacterium. RNAcentral describes it as "tRNA-Ala". It matches the Rfam family "tRNA". Rfam says of the family: Transfer RNA (tRNA) molecules are approximately 80 nucleotides in length. Their secondary structure includes four short double-helical elements and three loops (D, anti-codon, and T loops). Further hydrogen bonds mediate the characteristic L-shaped molecular structure. tRNAs have two regions of fundamental functional importance: the anti-codon, which is responsible for specific mRNA codon recognition, and the 3' end, to which the tRNAs corresponding amino acid is attached (by aminoacyl-tRNA synthetases). tRNAs cope with the degeneracy of the genetic code in two manners: having more than one tRNA (with a specific anti-codon) for a particular amino acid; and 'wobble' base-pairing, i.e. permitting non-standard base-pairing at the 3rd anti-codon position. The record is from RNAcentral.